CCACCUGAAUCCAUUCCGAACUCAGAAGUGAAACACGUUAGCGUCGAUGGUAGUGUGGGGCUUCCCCAUGUGAGAGUAGAACACCGCCAGGC
Molecule: ribosomal RNA, 92 nt
Filed under: Aestuariibacter sp.
Lineage: Bacteria; Pseudomonadati; Pseudomonadota; Gammaproteobacteria; Alteromonadales; Alteromonadaceae
Source: RNAcentral